Molecule: long non-coding RNA, 380 nt
Filed under: Parus major (Great Tit)
Lineage: Eukaryota; Metazoa; Chordata; Aves; Passeriformes; Paridae
Description: lncRNA (ENSPMJG00000015252.1)
Source: RNAcentral
AAGGGACUGCUCCAGGCCUCAGUGGAUGUCUGAGGGGACAUUGCUGUGGGAACCACCCAGGACACUAAAGGAAUGCCUUUGACUGGAGAUACAUUUUACCUCUGAGAAUGAAGUCCAAAGACAGGAUGAACCUCAUUCUUGUUUGAAAGCAAAAAAAGACAACCAUUCUCUUCCUCUUCUCCCUUCUUCUCCAAGAGUUUGACUUGUAAUCUUGACUCUGAGAGUGAGACACAGAUAUCUCAGUGCACAGAUUUUGCAGACAUAAUGCAGGCAAGUGGACUAUUUGAUGAGCCCUUCAUGUCCUGACAAUGCCUCCUACCACAGAGCUGACCUGAGCAAAAUUUUUCAUCUCAUAUGAUAAUAUUUAAAUUUAAAAUGUG